GUCCCUGUAGCGCAAUAGAUAGCACGUUGGACUUCUAAUCCAAAGAACGAGAGUUCGAAUCCCUCCUGAGAUG
Molecule: non-coding RNA, 73 nt
Organism: Trichonephila clavipes
Lineage: Eukaryota; Metazoa; Arthropoda; Arachnida; Araneae; Nephilidae
Source: the annotation of a GenBank genome assembly